CUAGCGAUUCUAGAGUUUGAUCCUGGCUCAGGAUGAACGCUAGCUACAGGCUUAACACAUGCAAGUCGAGGGGCAGCGGGGAUCUAGCUUGCUAGAUUUGCCGGCGACCGGCGCACGGGUGAGUAACACGUAUCCAACCUGGCCCAUACUCGGGUAUAGCCUCUCGAAAGGGAGAUUAAUCCCCGAUGUUGUUGUUUCACCGCAUGGUGUACCAACCAAAGAAUUUCGGUAUGGGAUGGGGAUGCGUUCCAUUAGCUUGUUGGCGGGGUAACGGCCCACCAAGGCGACGAUGGAUAGGGGUUCUGAGAGGAAGGUCCCCCACACUGGAACUGAGACACGGUCCAG
RNAcentral lists this ribosomal RNA (345 nucleotides) under uncultured bacterium. Its description in RNAcentral is "bacterial SSU rRNA". It matches the Rfam family "Bacterial small subunit ribosomal RNA", at positions 1 to 334 of the family's 1533-position model. The record is from RNAcentral.